AUUGAACGCUGGCGGCAUGGCUAAAACAUGCAAGUCGAACGAUCCCUUCGGGGAGAGUGGCGAAAGGGCGAGGAAUAGAAUCGAAUGUACCCCAAGGUGGGGGAUAGCCUCUGGAAACGGAGGGUAAUACCCCAUGUGCUCUACGGAGGAAAGGUUUACCGCCUUGGGAGCAGCGAUUCUCCUAUCAGGUAGUUGGUGAGGUAACGGCUCACCAAGCCGAAGACGGGUAGCGGGUGUGAGAGCAUGACCCGCCGCAUCGGGACUGAGACACUGCCCGGACUCCCACGGGAGGCUGCAGUAACGAAUCUUCCGCAAUGGGCGAAAGCCUGACGGAGCAAUGCCGCGUGUGGGAUGAAGCAUCUUCGAUGUGUAAACCACUGUCAGGGUCUAGGAAUACUGACCAGACCCAAAGGAAGGGCCGGCGUAAUUCCGUG
Molecule: ribosomal RNA, 434 nt
Filed under: uncultured bacterium
Lineage: Bacteria
Description: bacterial SSU rRNA
Rfam family: Bacterial small subunit ribosomal RNA
Source: RNAcentral